RNAcentral lists this long non-coding RNA (217 nucleotides) under Mytilus galloprovincialis (Mediterranean mussel). Lineage: Eukaryota; Metazoa; Mollusca; Bivalvia; Mytilida; Mytilidae. The record is from RNAcentral.
GCCAUAAUUUUAAUUUACUAUACUACAUUAUAUACACUAUGCAUUCAAUCAUUGACGAACAGUCCCAAACUGACUAUAGUCUAUACUGUUCUGCACAAGUUUAUCAUGCAUGCAGUCCUGCCAGAUUUUCUGGUACUAUAUAUACUGUGUUCCUUGCGCACUAAAGCAAGUUUUCACACUUAAGCAUCCAUAACAUAGCAGUGAGAUUUGUAACUUU